CAGUCGCCGCGGUAAUACGUAGGGUGCGAGCGUUAAUCGGAAUUACUGGGCGUAAAGCGUGCGCAGGCGGUUAUAUAAGACAGAUGUGAAAUCCCCGGGCUCAACCUGGGACCUGCAUUUGUGACUGUAUAGCUAGAGUACGGUAGAGGGGGAUGGAAUUCCGCGUGUAGCAGUGAAAUGCGUAGAUAUGCGGAGGAACACCGAUGGCGAAGGCAAUCCCCUGGACCUGUACUGACGCUCAUGCACGAAAGCGUGGGGAUCAAACAGGAUUAGAUACCCGCGUAGUCCCUGUCUCUUAUAC
This 301-nucleotide ribosomal RNA is filed under the name uncultured bacterium. RNAcentral's name for it is "partial 16S ribosomal RNA". It matches the Rfam family "Bacterial small subunit ribosomal RNA", at positions 509 to 807 of the family's 1533-position model. The record is from RNAcentral.